This 434-nucleotide ribosomal RNA is filed under the name uncultured bacterium. RNAcentral's name for it is "partial 16S ribosomal RNA". It matches the Rfam family "Bacterial small subunit ribosomal RNA", at positions 29 to 507 of the family's 1533-position model. The record is from RNAcentral.
AGCGAACGCUGGCGGCAGGCCUAACACAUGCAAGUCGAACGAACCUUUCGGGGUUAGUGGCGGACGGGUGAGUAACACGUGGGAACGUGCCUUUAGGUUCGGAAUAACUCAGGGAAACUUGUGCUAAUACCGAAUGUGCCCUUCGGGGGAAAGAUUUAUCGCCUUUAGAGCGGCCCGCGUCUGAUUAGCUAGUUGGUUGAGGUAAUGGCUCACCAAGGCGACGAUCAGUAGCUGGUCUGAGAGGAUGAUCAGCCACAUUGGGACUGAGACACGGCCCAAACUCCUACGGGAGGCAGCAGUGGGGAAUCUUGCGCAAUGGGCGAAAGCCUGACGCAGUCAUGCCGCGUGAAUGAUGAAGGUCUUAGGAUUGUAAAAUUCUUUCACCGGGGACGAUAAUGACGGUACCCGGAGAAGAAGCCCCGGCUAACUUCGUG